Molecule: long non-coding RNA, 3970 nt
Filed under: Sus scrofa (pig)
Lineage: Eukaryota; Metazoa; Chordata; Mammalia; Artiodactyla; Suidae
Description: lncRNA (ENSSSCG00025001098.1)
Source: RNAcentral
UCUGGAUGUUGGAUUAAAUAUUUAGACAGAGUGUUGACCACAUGUGACUUGAGCAGAAUUCGUGGUUAUUUUACCAAACUUCGGAUCAAGGUUUGCUUGAAAUAAGCUAUGCUGUGGAUAAAUCUUUGGAAGAUCAAGAGUGAACUGUAUUGCCCUCUACAUUGUUUCUGUCAGAAACAUGUGAUUCAGGUAUUCUUUGUCUCUCUUUUUUUUUUUUUGGUCUUUUUCUAGGGCCACACCUAUGGCAUAUGGCAGUUCCCAGGCUAGGGGUCCAAUCGGAGCUGUAGCUGCCAGCCUACACCAGAGCCACAGCAACUUGGUAUCCAAGCCACUUCUUCGACCUACACCACAGCUCACGGCAAUGCCGGAGCCUUAACCCACUGAGCGAGGCCAGGAUCAAACCUGAAACCUCAUGGUUCCUAGUCGAAUUCGUUAACCACUGGGCCAUGACGGGAACUCCAAGAUUCAGGUAUUCUUAAAUGUAAAAUUGAUUUUGACCAACCCAGGACCUAUCCAAUAAAAAUCAUCACAGAGGGGAGAACAAGUUGCUAUACAGAUUUUUCUGUUCUCCUUUUAGAAAAUGUAUCUUGGAGCGUAUAGGUGGGUAGUUGGUCAACCCAGUUUCUUUCUUGUAUGACAUGCCAGAGUUUGAUAUUGUCAGUCUAUUAACCAAGAUCUGUAAUGGGAUCAUUGCUGAAAGAGGCUUUGAGAAUAUUCUAUCACCAGUAUUUAGGUGUUGUAAGUUUUCAUCCAGGGCAGAUGAAAGGGUAACACAAUUAUCUAACACCCAACUAAGUCAAGAGCAUGAAGGAAAUAGGUUUAUUAAAGCUUAACUCAAGUCAGAUAACUUGUAUUAUGGGUGGACAUGGCUGGGUUAACUCAGGGUUUUUUGUUUGUUUUUUUUUUUUUUGUCUUUCUUUCUUUCUUUUUUUUUUUUUUCUUCAAAGAAGCAGACUUUUUAAGAUUAGAUCAACAUUACUGGUAGAAGCAGGAAACUUAGGGGCAAGCCAUUAAGUGUAACAUCAAAGUAUAGCUUCUAUAUCUCAGCUGUAAAGACAGGAACAUACCCAUUUUUCUCAAGUACUGCUUCUGAAUAGUUAUAUCAGUAAGCUGUAUCAAUAGAAAAGGAGAGACUAGAAAUGUAUACGUGCAAUUCCACCAUCAGCCAAAAAGCCAUAUAAGUCUUUCAGACUCUAAAGUAACAUUCAUGAUAGGGAAUAACACAUUGGUGUACUUUUGUUUUGCUUUUUAGGGCCACACCUGUGGCAUAUGGAAGUUCCCAGGCUAGGAGUCGAAUCAGAGCUACAGCUGCUGGCCUACACCACAGCCAUAGCAAUGCAGGGUCCGAGUUGCAUCUGUGACCUACACCAUAGCUCACCGCAACAGUGGAUCUGCGACCCACUGAGUAAGGCCCAGAAUUGAACCGGCAUCCUCAUAGAUACUGAUCAGAUUCGUUUCUAUUGCACCAUAGAGGGAACUCCCCAUUGGUGUACUUUUAAAUCUCAUCUCUUUCAUUUUUUAAGUGCAUGUGUGCUCUUAGCAUGUGUUCAACAGAUGCCAGGGGGAGGAAGGUGACAAGAGAAGUCGCACAAUACAGAAUCACUCUUUUUUACCCUUGAAACCAAUAGAGUUUAAUUGUAUGCACUAUAUACACACGUGUGUAUGUAUUAUGUAUACACAUAUAUGAAUGUAUGUAUUUAAUAUUUAGCAUAGUAACCUGUGGGUUUUUUUAAAUGUAUUUUAUUUUGAAGUAUAACAUACUCAUAAAAAAGUGAUACAACCCUUAUAAUUGCUGCCCAUGUGAAAAAGAAAGAGGAGACAGAGGAGAAGGAAGAAGUGGAGGAAUAGGAGGUAGAAGAGAAAUAGAGGAUGAGAAAGAGAAGAAUUAGAAGCUUUCGAAAAAUUUGACUGGCAUAUCAGAAGUCUUGUGAAUUUAUUCCCAAUCACAACCCUCUCCUCACGCUCUUCCCUUAAUAAGCCCUAGCCUCACUUUUUAUGUAGUCAUUUCUUGCUUUCUUUAUAGUCUUGCCACUUUAGUGUGUGCCCAUAUACUCCAUAUAUGUCCAUACAGUUUAGUGAUGUAUGUUUGGGAACUUGAUGUAAGUAUAAUCAUCCUGGAUGUAUUUAGUCUUGUUUCUUCCAUUUGUUACCCAUGUUGUUGAAUACCUCUAUGGUUUGUUGAUUUUCAUUGUUUUGUAGUAAAUGCUGUAAAAGUGUACCACAAUUCCUGUAUCUACUCUGCUAUAUUAGACACCUGGGUUGAUUACAGUUUGCCCCUAACUUCAAAUAAUGUUGCCAUAACUAUUCUUACACUUUUGGUGCACAGGACAUGUAUUUUUUUUUCCUCAACCUAUACUUUUAUUAUUGCCAUUUUAUGAGUAGGAAAAAUUACAGUUUACAAAACACACUUGAGGUCACCCUACUUAUUCAUAACAGAGGUGGAAUUAAGAGACAUAUAACUACAUGCACUUGUUGGAACAUGGAGGACAUGCAUUUCUGUUGGACAUAGUCCUGGUCAAUACAAAUUAAAAAUGUGACCAUGGGCAAUGAAUCUAACUUACUCUAAAUGAAAGUGCAGUGAGCCAGUAAUCUAAUGAAGGAAAACAACCAUUCUUUUGGUUAUUCUAAGGUUGUAGAUGCCGCCUGAACACAGAGAUGGCCAUUUCCAUCCAGGUGAAUAAAAAAAGAGUAUCCAAGAUUGUAUCUUUGCUUAAGAUUCAUGUCUGCAAGUUAUGUUUCAUUAAGAAAAUAAAAUGUUUUAGUUUUUAAACUAUCCCUGGUACUAGUUCUAGAAUUCCAAAAUUAAUAGGAUGAAAUAUCCUUGGAGGGCAGAGAGUAUAUCUCACUUGUCUUUUAUGUUCUUCACAGGGACCAUGGCAAUGCUGGAAAGAUGUUAAGUCUCCACUAAUUAUGCAUUGCCUUAAUAAAUAUUCUGUGGAGUAAAACUAUUUGUACAAACGGUUAUAAUUUUCAAGUGUCAGGCCCACAAAAGGGGAGAAGAGUGGAUUAGUUUAACUUAAAACUUUUUAUGUUCUGGGUUUUUUUUGUUUGUUUGUUUUUGUUUUUUGUCCACACCUGUGGCAUGUGGAAGUUUCUGGGUCAGGGAUAAAACCUGUGCAACAGCAGCAGCCUGAGCCACUGUAGUAACAACACCAGAUCCUUAACUUGCUGCGUUAUGAGAGAGCUCCACUUCUUUGGUUUUGAAAGCCUCUUUCUUGAAAAAAUAAGAAAAUAAUAUUGUGGGUGAGUCCAUCUUUUUUCUUCAUAAUUUUUUUUAACCAAAUUCAUAUAUGUCCUAAGUGCAGGCAGUAUAUUUCUGAGGCUUUUAAAAUUAUAAUUUGGACCUUUUGUUUGCCUUUUGAAAUGAAAGACAAAAUGAACAAUACACUAAGAUGAAAGUAUAUCACUCAUGAUAGACCUGUGCUUCAAAUUAAAUAUAUUUUAGGCCUUAGCUGAUUUUGCCAGUUAAGGCCAGAUCAUGGUAAAUUGAUUUCAGUUAUCUUCCUGUUUUUUUUAAUGGGCUUUGUUCUAAAGCUUCAGCUGAAGAAUCAAACUGUUCUGGAUUAACUGAAGUCUUGUUCCUGUUCAUACAAAUGCAGUCAACAUGAACACUAUAACUCAUCCAAGAACCAUUUAAACUAUUAAGGAAAAGGUGAUUUAAUUGUAGCUCAGUGGGUUAAGGACCCACUCGAUCUCUGGCCUCACUCAGUGGGUUAAGGACUGGGUGUAGAUGCAGCUCAGAUCUGGCGUUGCCAUGGCUGUGGCAUACGCCACAGCUGCAGUUCCCAGUCAACCCAUGGCCUGGGAAAAUCCAUAUGCCACAGAUGCAGUUGUAAAAAGUAAAAGAAAAAGAAAAAUUGCAUAUCCAGUAUCAGGCUGGGAGAGAACACUGCUUCUUAUGAAUCCAGCAUACUACCCACACCAUGAUUCAUUUUGCUUCUUUGCUGUAACACAUGUUAGCAUUCUUUUU